CUUAAAUACUAAACCAUCAAAAUUAGGGUAGCUAUUAUUGAACGGAUUUGUAAAAGCGAAAGGUCAAAUUUCACAGCAAAAUUUAAUAAAAAAGUAAAAAGAUGGAUUUCAUUGCCAUUUACUAGUAGGAGGCGACUCGACGGAGAGGGCUCUCCCGGUAACGAUCGGUCGAGAGCCCUCCCCUACGCGUACAGUGUCCUUAUCCGCUUCUCACGCGAAAAAAAAAAAAUGAAAACCGCACGCCCGCUUGCUAUCGUCUCGUCUUCCUCCGUCCGGAUCUGAGGAAAUUUCGUCGCCAUCCUCAUGAUGCUCGACGCCGACGGCCAUCUUCGUCUCCGUCGCCGAUGCUCCGACCCGGACCCCGACCCCGACACCGCCGGCGGGGACCUCGCCGCCGUGCCGUCCGCCCGCCUCCCGCCGCCGCCCCCUUCCCCACCCUUCCGAACCACUCCUCUUCCUUGCCCCGGCCGCAUACACCGGCCACCGGAUGUCCUCCACCAUCGCCGCCCGGCCUCGCCGCCCACACCCCGCCACCUCCGCCGGGCCUGCCGCCGCCGCCAGUCAUCCCUCGAACCCCGCCGGCCAUGGAGCCCGCCCCCAGCAACCCCGAACCGGAACCUCGAACCCUAAUCUGGCGGUCUUCUCCGAUUCCGGCGAGCCAGUCAUGGAGCCGAGUUACUUUUUUGCUGUUUUAUUUAUCUGCUCUGGUGAAGAAGAAACAAAGGGGCUCUCUAUUAUAACUCUAAAUCGAGAGGCCUCUCUGUUUAGUUUUUGCGUUACUAGUAUGGUAUAUUUCAAAUAUAAAAGGUGGAAUUGCAUUCUUACCCCUACUCUCGAGUUCAAUUGUGAUUUGCUCCCUUUUUCCUAACAUUAUGAUUUUGCACCUGUCUUUUUUUUUUAUUGAAGCUACCGUUUGCCCCUGUUUUGGAGUUCUAUUGGGUGGUGCAGCCGUGCAGGAUUAAAUGAACUGGAAAAAAUAAUUGGAAUAAAAAGAGAUCAAAGUAUCACUCCCUUAUCCUAUUCCACCGACUAACCCUACCUGUUGAGUGGCGGUGGACUAGAGGGAGCGCACAGGUGGGGAAACUGGAAAGUCAUGGAAGAAGCCAAACGUGUGGCGCAGGCGAGCAUUGCAGUGGCGAUGUCCAUGAAUCCAGCCUCCCUUCACAACAGACGUAUCCAUGACAGAGCUGCAGGAGGCAGCAAACAGGUCCACUUGCCUGCAGUUUGGGUGGCGAGAAACUGCAUGAGGCUGCAGGGGACAGCAGCAUGCAGACGCCUGGGCACAUAUACCAAGCUGGAUUGAGCCCCGGUGACAUAGGGUCACGUGGUUCCAGGCUCCAGGAAGUGCCAGAUCCUAGUCACUUAGGAGAUUAUCUUUCGUGGAUUGCCUAAUCAACCUGAUCCUUCCAUAUAAAUUAGAUGCUAUCAAGGUUAAUCGUCUGCCUGACUGCUACUACUCAAAUGCAAAAGAGGACUGGCACGUGCUGUCAUCACUCAUCAGCUGGAAGGAGUUUCACAGCCCGUGUCAUUGUCAUGGAUAAUGGGGAGGUACGACGUACGUAGUCCGUCAAAAUACAACAUCUGACCAUGUGUCUACCAUGUGAUACUAUAAUGCUUGCUAUAUACAGUUUCUCCUUGAAUAUAAUACAAGUUGUGUCAAAUA
Setaria italica (foxtail millet) is the source of this 1663-nucleotide long non-coding RNA. RefSeq lists it as uncharacterized. Lineage: Eukaryota; Viridiplantae; Streptophyta; Magnoliopsida; Poales; Poaceae. The record is from RefSeq and is a predicted model, not a curated record. The transcript is spliced from 3 exons.